This 352-nucleotide ribosomal RNA is filed under the name uncultured fungus. Its description in RNAcentral is "SSU rRNA". It matches the Rfam family "Eukaryotic small subunit ribosomal RNA", at positions 21 to 370 of the family's 1831-position model. The record is from RNAcentral. Lineage: Eukaryota; Fungi.
UGUAGUCAUAUGCUUGUCUCAAAGAUUAAGCCAUGCAUGUCUAAGUAUAAACAAAUUCUAUACUGUGAAACUGCGAAUGGCUCAUUAAAUCAGUAAUCGUUUAUUUGAUAGUACCUACUACUUGGAUAACCGUAGUAAUUCUAGAGCUAAUACAUGCGAAAAGACCCGACUCACGAAGGGUUGUAUUUAUUAGAUACAAAACCAAUGCGGGGCAACCCGGUUUCCGGUGAUUCAUAAUAACUUUUGCGAAUCGCAUGGCCUUGUGCCGGCGAUGAAUCAUUCAAAUUUCUGCCCUAUCAACUUUCGAUGGUAAGGUAUUGGCCUACCAUGGUCGCAACGGGUAACGGGGAAU